CGGGCUAAACCCGCGUACAUGCACCGGGGCAUCCCGGAGGCAGGAAAGGCUUCGGCCGGACAGGGAUGGGCAUGCGGCGCAUUAGGCAGUAGGCGGGGUAACGGCCCACCUAACCGACGAUGCGUAGGGGUUCUGAGAGGAAGGUCCCCCACACUGGUACUGAGACACGGACCAGACUCCUACGGGAGGCAGCAGUGAGGAAUAUUGGUCAAUGGUCGGGAGACUGAACCAGCCAAGCCGCGUGAGGGAUGAAGGUACAGAGUAUCGUAAACCUCUUUUGUCAGGGAACAAAGGCGGGGACGUGUCCCCGGAUGAGUGUACCUGAAGAAAAAGCAUCGGCUAACUCCGUGCCAGCAGCCGCGGUAAUACGGAGGAUGCGAGCGUUAUCCGGAUUUAUUGGGUUUAAAGGGUGCGCAGGCGGUCUGUUAAGUCAGCGGUCAAAGCCCGGGGCUCAACCCCGGCCCGCCGUUGAAACUGGCAGUCUCGAGUUGGAGAGAAGUAUGCGGAAUGCGCGGUGUAGCGGUGAAAUGCAUAGAUACCGCGCAGAACUCCGAUUGCGAAGGCAGCAUGCCGGCUCCACACUGACGCUGAGGCACGAAAGCGUGGGUAUCGAACAGGAUUAGAUACCCUGGUAGUCCACGCAGUAAACGA
Molecule: ribosomal RNA, 651 nt
Filed under: uncultured bacterium
Lineage: Bacteria
Description: bacterial SSU rRNA
Rfam family: Bacterial small subunit ribosomal RNA
Source: RNAcentral